This 465-nucleotide ribosomal RNA is filed under the name uncultured bacterium. RNAcentral's name for it is "partial 16S ribosomal RNA". It matches the Rfam family "Bacterial small subunit ribosomal RNA", at positions 28 to 507 of the family's 1533-position model. The record is from RNAcentral.
GACGAACGCUGGCGGCGUGCUUAACACAUGCAAGUCGAACGGAAAGGCCCUGCUUGCCGGUUACUCGAGUGGCGAACGGGUGAGUAACACGUGGGAGAUCUGCCCUUCACUUCGGGAUAAGCCUGGGAAACGGGGUCUAUUACCGGAUAGUAGCGAUUUUGAGUGUGAUGGUUGGAAAGUCUUUUCGGUGUUGGAUGAGCUCGCGGCCUAUCAGCUUGUUGGUGGGGUAAUGGCCUACCAAGGCGGCGACGUGUAGCCGGCCUGAGAGGGUGGACGGCCACCUUGGGACUGAGGGACGGCCCAGACGGCGACGGGAGGACGCAGGGGGGAAGAUUGAACCAGGGGCGCCAGGCUGAUGCAGCGGGGCCGCGUGGUGGAUGACAGCCUUCGUGUGGAAAAAUCCUUUCGCGAGAGACGAAGCUUUUUGUGACGGUACCUAGAGAAGAAGCACCGGCUAACUACGUG